RNAcentral lists this ribosomal RNA (395 nucleotides) under uncultured bacterium. Its description in RNAcentral is "partial 16S ribosomal RNA". It matches the Rfam family "Bacterial small subunit ribosomal RNA", at positions 523 to 918 of the family's 1533-position model. The record is from RNAcentral.
AUACGUAGGGUGCAAGCGUUAAUCGGAAUUACUGGGCGUAAAGCGUGCGCAGGCGGUUUUGUAAGACAGAGGUGAAAUCCCCGGGCUCCACCUGGGAACUGCCUUUGUGACUGCAAGGCUAGAGGACGGCAGAGGGGGAUGGAAUUCCGCGUGUAGCAGGGAAAAGCGUAGAUAUGCGGAGGAACACCGAUGGCGAAGGCAAUCCCCUGGGCCUGUACUGACGCUCAUGCACGAAAGCGUGGGGAGCAAACAGGAUUAGAUACCCUGGUAGUCCACGCCCUAAACGAUGUCAACUGGUUGUUGGGUCUUCAUUGACUCAGUAACGAAGCUAACGCGUGAAGUUGACCGCCUGGGGAGUACGGCCGCAAGGUUGAAACUCAAAUGAAUUGACGGGG